CAAUAGCGUAUAUUAAAGGUGUUGCAGUUAAAAAGCUCGUAGUUGGAUUUGUGGCGUACGGUGUGUUCCGGGCACUUGUUGUCUGAGUAACCUGCUGUUGCCAUCCUUGGGUGGAACCUGUGUGGCAUUAGGUUGUCGUGCAGGGGAUGCCCAUCAUUUACCGCGAAAAAAUUAGAGUGUUCAAAGCAGGCUUAUGCCGUUGAAUAUAUUAGCAUGGAAUAAUGAGAUAGGACUUUUUUGCUAUUUUGUUGGUUUGCGCAAAGAGGUAAUGAUUAAUAGGGACAGUUGGGGGUAUUCGUAUUCCAUUGUCAGAGGUGAAAUUCUUGGAUUUUUGGAAGACGAACUACUGCGAAAGCAUUUACCAAGGAUGUUUUCAUUAA
This 380-nucleotide ribosomal RNA is filed under the name uncultured eukaryote. Its description in RNAcentral is "partial 18S ribosomal RNA". It matches the Rfam family "Eukaryotic small subunit ribosomal RNA", at positions 592 to 976 of the family's 1831-position model. The record is from RNAcentral.